RNAcentral lists this unclassified non-coding RNA (289 nucleotides) under Hevea brasiliensis (rubber tree). The record is from RNAcentral. Lineage: Eukaryota; Viridiplantae; Streptophyta; Magnoliopsida; Malpighiales; Euphorbiaceae.
AGCAAGUCUCAUAGACGACUUCCCUGAGCAAAUUGUCGAAAAGAGUCAUUGAUAACAAUCUUCUUAGGGGUGGUCUAUAAGCAUAAGUGAGAAUCAAAGUGAAAAAAAUAAGAGAUGCUGGGAUUUUCAUACGGAGAAGUAUUUCUGUUGCUUGGUGCUACUGCUGCUCUUAUUGGACCUAAAGAUCUACCAAUCAUCGCAAGAACACUAGGCAGAUUUGCUGGGCGUUCCAUUGGUUAUGUUCAAUUGGCCCGUGGCCAGUUAGAAAGUGUCAUGCAGCAGUCCCAAG